CCCAAACCGACCAGUCUCCAAACCCUGAGUGCACUCUGACGUUUGCACCAGUGCUAUCCCACGCUCCUUUCUUCCUCUCUGCCUGGAAUGCCCUCUAUCACCUGCUUCCACAACCCAUCACCACUUCUGCAUGAUGAACACCACUCAUUAUUUCAAUACCCAACUCAAAUACUACCUCCUCUGGGAAGCCUUCCUAAACUCCCAAGGACAUUAACUUCUCUCUGUUCUCAGCUUGUCUAGGACACUGCACUUAUGGUUCAUGUGAUACACUGAUUAAUAGUCUCUGUUCACAGGUUUGUCCAAUCCACUCAAUUGUGAGCUGUCUUGGUGAAACAUUGUAUUUUCCCCCUCGCCCUGUAAUACAGAAUGUACAUUCACUUAACAUUUGUUGAACAAAUGAGUGAGCAGAAGAAACACUGAAAUGUUUUCAAAGACCUUGGUUCUCAUCCUUUUUUCAUCUACACGAGCCCUCCACCCAAUCUUGUGAUGAUUUCCGAUGAAGCCACACAUGUUGUCUUCGCAGGCUCUGUCGACACAUGGAGAAGAAUGACAAGCAAAGCUAUUGUGCUCUUCAUUACAAAGUGCAUUUCACAUUACAUACUUUUGCCACCACUUCAACCACAGGCAUCCCUCUAUCCCCAUACUGAAAGUGGCCUCGGAGAUUUGGAAAAGAGCAAACUGAGUAAGUUAACUUAGAUAACUGAGUCAUGUUUGAAAUAGUUAAGGCUUUUGUUUAUUAACAUUUUAUUUAUAAAGCCUUCAUGGCUCCUUCUUCCACUCAGUCAAGGAAAUGAACCCAUUUCAUCCAGAAAUUCAAUCAGUUCAUCUACCCUUCAAAUCUAAAGUGCCAGUGAGUUUGAUUAACCUGGUUCCCGAGCUGGAAGAUCAGCCUGUUUGGCUUUGUUGCUGGCUGCCCCAGGAAGAAUAAUUUCACUGGAAAAAGGAUGAGCAAGGCCACCAAUCAUGAAGGCAAAAACAGAGCAAAGGCUGAAAAACUAGGAGAAGGAGAAUAUCAGUUUCUAAUGGACCAGCCCAGAAGUCACUUAAGAACAAGAAGGGGGUGCAGAGAUGGCAUGGGUUACUCCAACAAGGACUGGGAAAUGUGUGGCCUAUGCAUUCUAAAUUAUACAACAUCAUCUUUAAAGUGCACUUCUCACAAUCCCAGGGGUAAGGCAAACCUUAGGGAGACUGAGAUAGGGCUGGAGAAAAGCACUUUCUCCCUAAAGCACAUUCUACAAAAAUGGCACCCUUUAAACAAAUUUAAAGUAAUAUAAGAACAGGACAGUAGGGAAGAUGGUGGUAAAAAGUCAGUGAAGGAAGCAACGGGAAAUAUGCACAAGUGAAAUAUCAGAUGUGAAACCAUGAGAUGCUUUGAAGACAAAGUCACAGGAGAACAUCUAUUUUAUGCACUCACCAGUGUAGGUCCCACCUCCUCCACACAUGCUAAGUUUGUUUCAUCAGAUGACUGCACCUCUGAGGGGAGGUGGUCGUCAAUCCAGGAGAAUUGCCAGAGGUAACUUGCUUGGCAAUCAAUGUCCUUCAAAGGUUCAAAACUGUUUUUUCCUUUUUAUUGGUUUUUGAAACUUCACAUACUUGAAAUUAGGCUGUUUACUUAUCUGUCUGAAUACACAAAUAUACAAAGUUGUUUAACAAAUAUUUAUUUAACAACUACUUCAGGGUGUAAGAUUUAAAAAGCAUUUAUUGGUAACUGGGAUAGGGGAAAGGGACAAGGUUAUAAAAGAAAUAGAAACCUUGUUCUCUACCCUUAAGAGUUCAAAAUCUGGUUGGAGAGACAAAAAUAAACAAAAGUAAUUACAUCA
RNAcentral lists this long non-coding RNA (1820 nucleotides) under Vulpes vulpes (red fox). RNAcentral's name for it is "lncRNA (ENSVVUG00000015301.1)". The record is from RNAcentral. Lineage: Eukaryota; Metazoa; Chordata; Mammalia; Carnivora; Canidae.